This 75-nucleotide transfer RNA is filed under the name Gulbenkiania mobilis. RNAcentral's name for it is "tRNA_Arg_CCT". It matches the Rfam family "tRNA". Rfam says of the family: Transfer RNA (tRNA) molecules are approximately 80 nucleotides in length. Their secondary structure includes four short double-helical elements and three loops (D, anti-codon, and T loops). RNAcentral also lists the same sequence under 4 other names. The record is from RNAcentral. Lineage: Bacteria; Pseudomonadati; Pseudomonadota; Betaproteobacteria; Neisseriales; Chromobacteriaceae.
GUCCCUGUAGUUAAAUGGAUAUAACGGCCCCCUCCUAAGGGGCAGUUCUGGGUUCGAUUCCCGGCGGGGGCGCCA